CACAGAGAGCUGCUCUCGGGUGACGAGCGGCGGACGGGUGAGUAAUGUCUGGGAAACUGCCUGAUGGAGGGGGAUAACUACUGGAAACGGUAGCUAAUACCGCAUAAUGUCGCAAGACCAAAGUGGGGGACCUUCGGGCCUCAUGCCAUCAGAUGUGCCCAGAUGGGAUUAGCUAGUAGGUGGGGUAACGGCUCACCUAGGCGACGAUCCCUAGCUGGUCUGAGAGGAUGACCAGCCACACUGGAACUGAGACACGGUCCAGACUCCUACGGGAGGCAGCAGUGGGGAAUAUUGCACAAUGGGCGCAAGCCUGAUGCAGCCAUGCCGCGUGUGUGAAGAAGGCCUUCGGGUUGUAAAGCACUUUCAGCGGGGAGGAAGGCGAUGAGGUUAAUAACCUCAUCGAUUGACGUUACCCGCAGAAGAAGCACCGGCUAACUCCGUGCCAGCAGCCGCGGUAAUACGGAGGGUGCAAGCGUUAAUCGGAAUUACUGGGCGUAAAGCGCACGCAGGCGGUCUGUCAAGUCGGAUGUGAAAUCCCCGGGCUCAACCUGGGAACUGCAUUCGAAACUGGCAGGCUAGAGUCUUGUAGAGGGGGGUAGAAUUCCAGGUGUAGCGGUGAAAUGCGUAGAGAUCUGGAGGAAUACCGGUGGCGAAGGCGGCCCCCUGGACAAAGACUGACGCUCAGGUGCGAAAGCGUGGGGGAGCAAACAGGAUUAGAUACCCUGGUAGUCCACGCCGUAAACGAUGUCGAUUUGGAGGUUGUGCCCUUGAGGCGUGGCUUCCGGAGCUAACGCGUUAAAUCGACCGCCUGGGGAGUACGGCCGCAAGGUUAAAACUCAAAUGAAUUGACGGGGGCCCGCACAAGCGGUGGAGCAUGUGGUUUAAUUCGAUGCAACGCGAAGAACCCUUACCUGGUCUUGACAUCCACAGAACUUAGCAGAGAUGCUUUGGUGCCUUCGGGAACUGUGAGACAGGUGCUGCAUGGCUGUCGUCAGCUCGUGUUGUGAAAUGUUGGGUUAAGUCCCGCAACGAGCGCAACCCUUAUCCUU
RNAcentral lists this ribosomal RNA (1049 nucleotides) under Klebsiella sp. VN-31. RNAcentral describes it as "bacterial SSU rRNA". It matches the Rfam family "Bacterial small subunit ribosomal RNA", at positions 70 to 1112 of the family's 1533-position model. The record is from RNAcentral. Lineage: Bacteria; Pseudomonadati; Pseudomonadota; Gammaproteobacteria; Enterobacterales; Enterobacteriaceae.